This 468-nucleotide ribosomal RNA is filed under the name uncultured bacterium. Its description in RNAcentral is "partial 16S ribosomal RNA". It matches the Rfam family "Bacterial small subunit ribosomal RNA", at positions 28 to 507 of the family's 1533-position model. The record is from RNAcentral.
GACGAACGCUGGCGGCGUGCUUAACACAUGCAAGUCGAACGGAAAGGCCCUGCUUUUGUGGGGUGCUCGAGUGGCGAACGGGUGAGUAACACGUGAGUAACCUGCCCUUGACUUUGGGAUAACUUCAGGAAACUGGGGCUAAUACCGGAUAGGAGCUCCUGCUGCAUGGUGGGGGUUGGAAAGUUUCGGCGGUUGGGGAUGGACUCGCGGCUUAUCAGCUUGUUGGUGGGGUAGUGGCUUACCAAGGCUUUGACGGGUAGCCGGCCUGAGAGGGUGACCGGCCACAUUGGGACUGAGAUACGGCCCAGACUCCUACGGGAGGCAGCAGUGGGGAAUAUUGCACAAUGGGCGGAAGCCUGAUGCGGCAACGCCGCGUGCGGGAUGAAGGCCUUCGGGUUGUAAACCGCUUUCGCCUGUGACGAAGCGUGAGUGACGGUAAUGGGUAAAGAAGCACCGGCUAACUACGUG